CCUAGGGUUCCGCCGUCACCUUAACAAACCUUCGUAGUUCUUCCAAUUACUUAUGAAUUACACAUGCAUAUUUUGAAGGUUAGGUUUCCUAAAAUAUGCCUACUUGGACCCCCAUUAUAGAGCGUAUAUCAAACAUGCAACCCGUAUGUGGUAGAUCAAAUCUAAACAUGCAUGACUCAUUAAGCUUUGUGAAACCUUUUGAAAAACCAUACAACCCUUAAGACGUGAUAUUCCUCCUAAGUGAACUUGCACAUAUUAAUCACAAGAAGCCUUCGUCAAUUUCAGGCUCCGACCAAAAUUGCAUCAAAUUACUUUUCUAAAGAUCCUAAUGGUAGCUAAGCAUUAAGACAAUUAGAUAGUUUAAACCGGUGAUUAAUAAUUCAAACAUGCAUGCAUAAUAUCAUAAGCAAAUUGAAAAGAAACUACAUAUUCUUGUUAAGGCUCGUGGCCUCGUCCUAGCAAACAAGAAUUAGUUACUAACAACCAUACAACGAAAUUUUAUUAAAAACAAGGAAGGAAAACACCUUGAAAAUAAACUUGAAUUGUCAAAAGCAAUUCUCCAAAUAGUGUGUGCGUUCUCUCCCUUCCCCCCCCCCUUCUAUUAAUGGCUAAAUAUCUUAUUUAUACUAAUACAAAAUUAAACCCUAAAAAGUCUUAGAGUAAAACUAGGAAACAUAAUUAAAUAUUAAAACAGAAAAUAAAAAGGUUUCCUAUUUGAACUAAUAUUUGGACUUCUCAGAAAAUCAGUUUUUGACCAACCAAAUCAACUCUGAUUUGGUCCCAAAAUAUCUCUUUUGAAAGCUGAAGUCGUCCCCUACAAAUCCUCAGAACGAAUCUUCCUCAAAAUAUGCCCGCUUGACCUUCAAAAUACCUAAAAUGUCCAGAAACGUCAAUUUGGGAAAGCUGCGCGUUGGGCUUUUAUUUCAUGGCCACGGUCAAACGGCUAAGUAGAAAAAUCUGAAACUUUGAUACAAUCAUUUUGAAAGACUCACGAACAUCCUCUAAUUGGAAUUACUCCAAAAUUCAUCCGUUUGAUCACUUUUUACUCCAGAGGAAGUCGAAUGCCCUACAUUAGAAAUAUAAUUCAAAGUAUCAAAAUUCACACAUAAUAACCAAUAAAUUACUUUAGUCUAAAGAAAGGUUCUCAAUUGGCACUGUAGAAACGAAUAGUGUUUCAAUCCGAAUUUCAGUUUAAUUACAACAAUGCCAUUGCUCUUUGUGUUGGCUUUGGUUGAGUAGCCCGGCUUGCAGCCAGGCCCAAAUGUAUUGGUUUUAGCUGAGAAGCCCGGCCCUCAGUUAGGCCCAAAAGUUUAAAUUAGAGUUUUGUCCAUAUAAAAUAACAAUCCGAUGGUGAGGAUG
This 1359-nucleotide long non-coding RNA is filed under the name Malus domestica (apple). RNAcentral describes it as "long non-coding RNA (MDOM_LNC000053)". The record is from RNAcentral. Lineage: Eukaryota; Viridiplantae; Streptophyta; Magnoliopsida; Rosales; Rosaceae.